RNAcentral lists this ribosomal RNA (455 nucleotides) under uncultured Latescibacterota bacterium. RNAcentral's name for it is "bacterial SSU rRNA". It matches the Rfam family "Bacterial small subunit ribosomal RNA", at positions 929 to 1382 of the family's 1533-position model. Lineage: Bacteria; Pseudomonadati; Candidatus Latescibacterota. The record is from RNAcentral.
GCGGUGGAGCAUGUGUUUAAUCGAUGAUACGCGAAGAACCUUACCGGGGUUUGACAUGCAGGUGAUCGCCGUUUGAAAGACGGUUUUCCUCUUCGGAGGCACCUGCACAGGUGCUGCAUGGCUGUCGUCAGCUCGUGUCGUGAGAUGUUGGGUUAAGUCCCGCAACGAGCGCAACCCUUAUCCCCAGUUGCCAUCAGGUAAAGCUGGGAACUCUGGGGAGACUGCCGGUGAUAAACCGGAGGAAGGCGGGGAUGACGUCAAGUCCUCAUGGCCCUUACAUCCCGGGCUACACACGUGCUACAAUGGCAGGUACAGAGGGCUGCGAAGCCGCGAGGUGGAGCGAAUCCCAGAAAACCUGUCUCAGUCCGGAUUGAAGUCUGCAACUCGACUUCAUGAAGGCGGAAUCGCUAGUAACCGCGAAUCAGCAGGUCGCGGUGAAUACGUUCCCGGGCCUU